This 253-nucleotide ribosomal RNA is filed under the name uncultured bacterium. RNAcentral's name for it is "partial 16S ribosomal RNA". It matches the Rfam family "Bacterial small subunit ribosomal RNA", at positions 524 to 776 of the family's 1533-position model. The record is from RNAcentral.
UACAGAGGGGGUAAGCGUUGUUCGGAAUUACUGGGCGUAAAGGGCGCGUAGGCGGCCGCCUAAGUCAGACGUGAAAUCCCUCGGCUCAACCGGGGAACUGCGUCUGAUACUGGGUGGCUUGAAUUCGGGAGAGGGAUGCGGAAUUCCAGGUGUAGCGGUGAAAUGCGUAGAUAUCUGGAGGAACACCGGUGGCGAAGGCGGCAUCCUGGACCGAGAUUGACGCUGAGGCGCGAAAGCCAGGGGAGCAAACGGG